GAAAAUAUGCAUUAUGAGAAAAUGUGAAAUAAUCUAUAUUUACAUAGAGAAUUCAGUGUGCCGUAGGAAGAAUAUAUUCUAUUUAUUACACGCACUUCAAAAUUUUGAUAUAUUUUGAUGAAUGUUUAAGAAAUCACUAAUUCAACUGAUAUUUUCACAAGCAACCUGACAAUAAUAAAAACACUAAUUUGAUUGGGGUUUUGUGUGUAUUUGACAUAUACAGUAACUUUGAUACUCUGAAUUGGCAUUUUAAUAUUGUUACUAAAAUUAUUUUUUAUAUUGAUGAUUUUGUAUUUAU
This 298-nucleotide unclassified non-coding RNA is filed under the name Hevea brasiliensis (rubber tree). The record is from RNAcentral. Lineage: Eukaryota; Viridiplantae; Streptophyta; Magnoliopsida; Malpighiales; Euphorbiaceae.